UCUCGGCUUAUCACCGGCAGUCCCCUUAGAGUGCCCAACUGAAUGAUGGCAACUAAGGGCGAGGGUUGCGCUCGUUACGGGACUUAACCCAACAUCUCACGACACGAGCUGACGACAGCCAUGCAGCACCUGUCUUGUGGUUCCCGAAGGCACUCUCUCAUCUCUGAAAGAUUCCACAGAUGUCAAGGGCAGGUAAGGUUCUUCGCGUUGCAUCGAAUUAAACCACGUGCUCCACCGCUUGUGCGGGCCCCCGUCAAUUCAUUUGAGUUUUAACCUUGCGGCCGUACUCCCCAGGCGGAGAACUUAACGCGUUAGCUGUGACACUGAGAGGUUCAAGCCCUCCCAACAUCUAGUUCUCAUCGUUUACGGCGUGGACUAC
RNAcentral lists this unclassified non-coding RNA (379 nucleotides) under uncultured Gammaproteobacteria bacterium. RNAcentral describes it as "contains 16S-23S intergenic spacer region". The record is from RNAcentral. Lineage: Bacteria; Pseudomonadati; Pseudomonadota; Gammaproteobacteria.